This 32-nucleotide non-coding RNA is filed under the name Geobacter sulfurreducens KN400. Lineage: Bacteria; Pseudomonadati; Thermodesulfobacteriota; Desulfuromonadia; Geobacterales; Geobacteraceae. The record is from RNAcentral.
CCCCAUGACCACUGACAGCGCCAUCAUCGACG